This 468-nucleotide ribosomal RNA is filed under the name uncultured bacterium. Its description in RNAcentral is "partial 16S ribosomal RNA". It matches the Rfam family "Bacterial small subunit ribosomal RNA", at positions 28 to 507 of the family's 1533-position model. The record is from RNAcentral.
GACGAACGCUGGCGGCGUGCUUAACACAUGCAAGUCGAACGGAAAGGCCCUGCUUUUGUGUGGUGCUCGAGUGGCGAACGGGUGAGUAACACGUGAGUAACCUGCCCUUGACUUUGGGAUAACUUCAGGAAACUGGGGCUAAUGCCGGAUAGGAGCUCCUGCUGCAUGGUGGGGGUUGGAAAGUUUCGGCGGUUGGGGAUGGACUCGCGGCUUAUCAGCUUGUUGGUGGGGUAGUGGCUUACCAAGGCUUUGACGGGUAGCCGGCCUGAGAGGGUGACCGGCCACAUUGGGACUGAGAUACGGCCCAGACUCCUACGGGAGGCAGCAGUGGGGAAUAUUGCACAAUGGGCGGAAGCCUGAUGCAGCAACGCCGCGUGCGGCAUGACGGCCUUCGGGUUGUAAACCGCUUUCGCCUGUGACGAAGCGUGAGUGACGGUAAUGGGUAAAGAAGCACCGGCUAACUACGUG